GACCCUGUUUCCGAAUUGUCACCGUAUGGUGCGCGUUCCAAGCUUACGUUUGGAUAGGAAGCAGGGUCGCUU
Molecule: non-coding RNA, 72 nt
Organism: Candidatus Woykebacteria bacterium RBG_13_40_15
Lineage: Bacteria; Candidatus Woykeibacteriota
Source: Rfam